AGCGGGCGAGGUUGCUUCGGUAACUGAGCUAGCGGCGGACGGGUGAGUAAUGCUUAGGAAUCUGCCUAUUAGUGGGGGACAACAUUCCGAAAGGAAUGCUAAUACCGCAUACGCCCUACGGGGGAAAGCAGGGGAUCUUCGGACCUUGCGCUAAUAGAUGAGCCUAAGUCAGAUUAGCUAGUUGGUGGGGUAAAGGCCUACCAAGGCGACGAUCUGUAGCGGGUCUGAGAGGAUGAUCCGCCACACUGGGACUGAGACACGGCCCAGACUCCUACGGGAGGCAGCAGUGGGGAAUAUUGGACAAUGGGCGCAAGCCUGAUCCAGCCAUGCCGCGUGUGUGAAGAAGGCCUUUUGGUUGUAAAGCACUUUAAGCGAGGAGGAGGCUACUUGGAUUAAUACUCUAGGAUAGUGGACGUUACUCGCAGAAUAAGCACCGGCUAACUCUGUGCCAGCAGCCGCGGUAAUACAGAGGGUGCGAGCGUUAAUCGGAUUUACUGGGCGUAAAGCGUGCGUAGGCGGCUUCUUAAGUCGGAUGUGAAAUCCCUGAGCUUAACUUAGGAAUUGCAUUCGAUACUGGGAAGCUAGAGUAUGGGAGAGGAUGGUAGAAUUCCAGGUGUAGCGGUGAAAUGCGUAGAGAUCUGGAGGAAUACCGAUGGCGAAGGCAGCCAUCUGGCCUAAUACUGACGCUGAGGUACGAAAGCAUGGGGAGCAAACAGGAUUAGAUACCCUGGUAGUCCAAGCCGUAAACGAUG
This 752-nucleotide ribosomal RNA is filed under the name uncultured bacterium. Its description in RNAcentral is "bacterial SSU rRNA". It matches the Rfam family "Bacterial small subunit ribosomal RNA", at positions 65 to 811 of the family's 1533-position model. The record is from RNAcentral.